Molecule: long non-coding RNA, 4581 nt
Filed under: Marmota monax (woodchuck)
Lineage: Eukaryota; Metazoa; Chordata; Mammalia; Rodentia; Sciuridae
Source: RNAcentral
GCGCCCGGGACUAGCGGUUUGGGAUGCUGAACUACGUUUCCCAGGAGCCUCGCGGGUGCAUCCUCGUUCGCCUUAUUCAACUAAACCUCCACGCAUAACCGCUGUGCACGGAUUCUGUUCCGUUCUGUGCAGAUUCGGCGUGGGCCUCUACCUUGAAAUAAAGCCCAGGAAACUAUACACCAGGAACAGUUGAUCAGCGAUGAGGGAGAGUCCAGCGGAGCGGCGCCUGAUGUGGUGACAAGAGCGGAUCGGUUAAGGUCUCCGGAGACAGUAGGAGAGCCAAAUGGCACGUUCUUGGAGAACGGUGCCAAAAAGACUCGAAAAGCUGGCGGGAUUGCGCCCUUUGCCCCGAAGAAGCACUGGGUAUUACCCAUCUGGCCCUGCAGUCGACCAGGACGUGGAUUCCGAGACGUCACGAUAAUUUCUUCAGUGGGAGGAAAUUUCUUUUAGUGCGAGGACAGGGACAUUGGGGUGAAGGCCCUUAGAGCAGGGCAGACUGCGACUCAGAACAGAGCUGAUGGCAGCUUGAACCCGGCUGGUGACUGAGGGAACCCAGAACGGUACUGAUAAAUGCCCAAGACAGAAUAGACUUACGUCUUGAUAACUUAUCAAACAGGGCUGAGGGAGGGGAAGGGAACUUGGAUCCCAAUGAGUCUUAUUCUUAAACAAGUGGAUAAUGUUUAGAAGUUGGUGUUUAUUUGUAUUGAGGAUGCAGUGAUGUGUAAGGAUAUUCCACUGGAGAUAUUUAGUUGCAUUUGAAUACAUGACUUUCAUGGAGCUCAGGAAGGAAAGAUUAGAGGGUUUUAACUUUGUUGUUGGUAAAAUAAAAUUUAAAAGGCAAGAAUGUCACUUGAGAUUUGCCACUUAAGGAAUUGUUGGCCACCUUUUAGGGAGCAACGUCAAUGACUUUAUGUGACACUAUAGCAUUCUAUUUGGGGUUUUAUUGAUGAUUUUAUUCCACCAACACCUUUAUCAACUCUAAAUACCCUUCCUCAGGAUAAUGGCUAGUUCCUACGUUUGUUUGCUAAACCCUGUUACAAGACCCCUGCAGUAAGGAUGUAGUAAAAGCUUCCUUUAGCUUCACUUCCUAUAACUUCCUUCUACUUAACGCCCUAAAUAUACACUGUAUUAGCCUUCUUGUAGUUACUCCUUUAUUCACACACACUCCCCCCCGCCCCAACUUCCCAUUUCCCUUGUCUUCUUUGCACCAACUGGCUCACUCCAAUGGUACCCUGUGCUAGGAGCUACUUUGCAGUAGGGACUAGGGGUCUUUCAUCCUAGAAUUGAUAGGAGCUGACUUACACACUAUGAGUAGGAGCAGUAUCUUAUCAUACUUGUUCAAAUGUACAGUGCAAAAGCAAUCAAGUGUGUGGACUGCAGGCAUGAACUUAUGCCAAAUGUGUAUAUACACAAGAAAGUAACCCACCUCAACUAUAUCCUAAGCACUCAUCCAGAUCUGGUGUGUGUGUGUGUGUGUGUGUGUGUGUGUAUGUGUGUGUUUAGAAGCCCAAUGCAGUCUCCAUAAUCAUCCAAGUUUAGGGGGCUGUUUAUGCAUUAUCUGCAAGAGGGGUACUGGCACCAUAGUCUGCUGCUCCACCUGUGUUACAGAACCCAGAUUGCUAACCUAUUUAAGUGUGUAAAUGGCCCAAUUUGUCUUUUGAGCUCAGUUACAGAUAAAAUAUAACUAAUCACCCCAUUCUGUGUAGUUGCAGAGGACCCUGCGUUUCUUGCUCUUUAGAAGUCAUUCAAUACAUCCAAAUUCUCUUUUACUGACUCUCCUGCCAUGAAUUCCUUUAGGGCUCUCGAUCCCCAGAAACUACUGAGAAGGUACUUAGUAAAUAUCUAAAGGCAUAUUGGUCAUGGCUAUCUGUCUGUUGCUCAUAGGCCUGACAACAUCUACAGUGACCAUAUGGUAGCCUCCACCCCACCAGCUGAUUGGAAAAGGGACAGAUACUUGGCCAAAAAAGUGACUUUUAAGACAGAGCCUGUCUUAAAAGGAUGAUCUGGACCAAUUAGGUUUCUUUCAUGAAAUUUUAGAAUUAAGAGAGAUACAAGGGUCAGAUAGGAGACCUGAUGAUUCUGGGUCACAUGAAUUUAAUUUUAAGUAAAGGAAGCCAAGGUAACUGAGAUAAUGGAAAAAACACAGCAAUGGGAGCCCAUAUGGUGGUGGUAGUAGUGACAAGGGGAAGGGCACAGAGAGAGCGCACCUACAAAUCCUUGGCUAAUGAUGGUUCUCAGUUGUCACAGAGUCUGGCUAUACUGCAUUUCAAGUGGCACACACAAAAAGUCCUCAAAUAUUAUAGAAGUUACAAUUCUACUUGAGAAUUGAGACCAAAGUAAGACUGGGUUUAACAAGAGGACGCUAUAACCAAGGUAUUCUCGCUCAGACCCUUACACUUUGAAUAUUCUAUCCAGGUGUUUUACAAAUAAAUAUCCUCCUUUCUCUCAUUUCAAGCACAGAGGAAUGAGGAGGAUGGAGCAAAUCACUGGCCAUGAGCUUCUCCACUAUUCUUCCCCAUUUCCUGCUUAAACACACCCCUUGACUCAUCCUGCUGAUUCUGGGGCUCCUUGACUAUACUCAUAUAUAAACUCAUAGAGUCUUGUGGAGAGCCAUUCUCACACGUGACUGGGCGACUCCCGGUUUGGGUCUGAGGCGCUCUGACUAAUCUGUGUCGGAGCUUUCCCGGCCCUCUCCUGAUGAGAGAACCCUUCCUUGUGGGGGUGUGACUGACCACUGACCCCGGGGGCCCAAUCACUGACCCUGACCUUGGAGUGUGGCCCCCCCUCAACCUUCAUUGGAUGGAAUUCUCCCCUGAAUUUCUUGUUCCCCAAUAAAAGGCUACUCCCUGGCGUGCUCGCCCUCUCUCUCUCCUGCUAGCGCCGAGUAAUCCUUGCUGCCCUACGGGUGGUUAAAGGUUGGAGCCAGAGAGGGGAGCCGUCUCGGACCUGGUCAUAGAAAAAGGUAACUGAGUCUGUGUGUUUUAUUUCGAUCUCUGCUAGCUAACUUUUAUGCCGAGAACCUCAUUAAUGAAACCAGUGCACUGGUCGCAUGGUGGAGAGUCUGAACAGGCAAAGAAGGAAUUUAACACUGAACUAAUUGUAUCCCCCAAAACUUAGAUUUUCAGUAAUUACUCUUUCUUAUAUCCAUUCUACUCCUUUCCCUUCAUAUGUUUGUAUUCCACCUGAUCUCAAGAGAAAGAAAUGAAUUAAGAAGAAGGGGGGCAGAGAAGGGAUGGGUAGAAAAGAAAUUAAAAUGACGAAGACAGCAGAAAAAUAAAGGUUCAAAAGGAAGGCAUAAAACAAGGGGGAGAGAAAGUAAUGAAGGUGCUGAAGCUUUGUAUGGCAAUGAGUUGAAGUCAGUAAGAUUUUAACCCUGAGUAGUGAUUGCCCAGAGACUCUGGACUGCUUAGGAGCUAAACAAUGAGAGAUUAUAGGCACUUACUCCACUAUUGCCCACAUUUUCUGGACCCACGAUUUAUUUAUUCCAACCACUCUUAUUAGAAAGUUUCCCUCCUCUUGUUGAAAGUAUUCCUAAAGCCUCUGUGUGCCAAAUCUUAUUUUCCUCGUCUGAGCUGUACAUCUACUCAUUGCUGUCUCCUGACUCUCUCAUGCCUCUUUUCAGUUGUAAACAUAAUCAUCCUAUCUUAUAUCAUGCAAACGCUCCCUGGUAGAUGGAUGGCUAAAUCAGCCCUAACCCCUUAAUUGGCCUACCUCUACUACAAAGGCUGAAAGGGCUAGGCUCUCCUUUUUUUAGCCUCCCUUGCUGCUAGGAGUGGUCAUGUAACAGUUGUGGCCCAUAAGAUGCAAGCAGGUGUGUGCUAAAGAGCUUCUGGGAAAUCUUUUCUGAUAAAAGGCACAGAUGUUGCUGGUCCUUCUCAAACCCUUUCUUCCUGAUUUGAAUGCAGACAUUUUACCUGAAGCUAUGGAUGCCAUCAUGCAACCAGGAUGGAAAUCCCUUGAAAUGUAAAUCAUUCAAUUAUCUUAUCUGUGGAUCAAUGCUGACCACCUCCACAUUUGUCAUUUGAGAAAAACACCCCUACUUGCCUAAAACAUUGUUAAGAAGGAUUCUGAAUAUCUGUAGCCAAAGGUCUUCUAAUAGGUAAAUCCCUUCUCAGCCCUCAUUUCCUUGGUCAUCUUUCUAAAUCUCUCCCAUAUCAGUAAAGCUACUAAGUCAUUUUCAACAUUUAACUCACUCUUCAAACACAUUAAAAUUUAUGUGUUUUAAAUUGAUAAUCAAAAACAAAGGUUAGAGCCAGGCACGAUGGCAUGAGCCUGUAAUCCCAGCAGCUCAGGAAGCUGAGGCAGAAGGAUCACAAGUUCAAAGCCAGCCUCAGCAAUGGCAAGGCGCUAAGCAACUCAGUGAGACCUGUCUUUAAAUAAAAUACAAAAUAGGGCCAGGGAUGUGGCUCAAUGGCUGAGUGUCCCUGAACCCAAUCUUCAUUACCCCCCCACCCAAAAAAGCAAAGUACAGGGCUGGGGAUACAGCUCAUUUGGUAGAGUGCUUGCCUCAUGCACAAGGCUCUGGGCUCAAUCCCCAGAACCAUAAAAAAAUUAAAGUACUUUAUUCUGAAGCAUUUGAUA